This 162-nucleotide small nuclear RNA is filed under the name Echeneis naucrates (live sharksucker). Its description in RNAcentral is "U1 spliceosomal RNA (ENSENLG00000000038.1)". It matches the Rfam family "U1 spliceosomal RNA". Rfam says of the family: U1 is a small nuclear RNA (snRNA) component of the spliceosome (involved in pre-mRNA splicing). Lineage: Eukaryota; Metazoa; Chordata; Actinopteri; Carangiformes; Echeneidae. The record is from RNAcentral.
AUAUUUACCUGGCAGGGGAGAUACCGUGAUCAAGAAGGUGGUUCACCCAGGACGAGCCUCAGCCAUUGCACUCAGGUUGUGCUGACCCCUGCAAAUUCCCCAAAUGUGGGAAUCUCGACUGCAUAAUUUCUGGUAGUGGGAGACUGCGUUCACGCUCUCCUC